This 1659-nucleotide long non-coding RNA is filed under the name Pan troglodytes (chimpanzee). RNAcentral's name for it is "long non-coding RNA NONPTRT001295". Lineage: Eukaryota; Metazoa; Chordata; Mammalia; Primates; Hominidae. The record is from RNAcentral.
CUUUUGACUACAGUUACACAGCAAAUCCCAAAGAGCUUUGUAGUAGUUUAACGUACUACAACUUAUCAGAAAGAUGAGGCACUUGACAGUUACAUUAAGGAGCUAAAGUCAAUACGGCAGUUGUAGAUUUGCUAAUGCCACUGUAUUUUUCUGCUCAUAGCAUGGACCCAUUCAUAUGACUAAUUUAGGUACAGGCUUCUCCAGUCAGAAUGAGAUUGAAGGUGCAGGAUCGAAGCCAGCAAGUUCCUCAGGCAAAGAGAGAGAGAGGGACAGGCAGUUGAUGCCUCCACCAGCCUUUCCAGUGACUGGAAUAAAAACAGAGUCCGAUGAAAGGAAUGGGUCUGGGACCUUAACAGGGAGCCAUGGUGAGUGUGAUAUAGCUGGGGGAACAGGGGAGUGGCUAACUAAGACUGGUCUAAAGCUAUUAGUUUUCUCAGCUGGGCGCGGUGGCUCACGCCUGUAAUCCCAGCACUUUGGGAGGCCGAGGUGGGCGGAUCACCUAAGGUCAGGAGUUCAAGACCAGCUUGGCCAACAUAGUGAAAUCCCAUCUCUACUAAAAAUACAAAAACUAGCGGGCAUGGUGGUGGGCGCCUGUAAUCCCAGCUACUCAGGGGGUUGAGGCAGGAGAAUCGCUUCAACCUGGGAGGCAGAGGUUGCAGUGAGCCAAGAUCAGACCACUGCCCUCCAGCCUGGGCAAUAGAGCAAGACUCCAUCUCACAAAUAAAUAAAUACAUAAAUAAAGCUAUUAGUUUUCUAACCUGAUGUUCAUUCAGGUGUUUAAUCCAACCUCUAUAAUCUGUUGGCCAGUGAAAAUACUUUUGGGCCGGGCACGGUGGCUCACGCCUGUAAUCCCAGCACUUCGGGAGGCCAAGGUGGGCGGAUAACCUGAGGUCAGGAGUUUGAGACCAGCGUGGCUAACACGGUGAAACCCCGUCUCUACUAAAAAUAGAAAAAUUAAGCUGGGCAUGGUGGUGCAUGCCUGUAAUUCCAGCGACUUGGAAGGCUGAGGCAGGAGAAUCGCUUGAACUUGGGAGGUGGAGGUUGCAGUGAGCCAAGAUCACACCACUGCAUUCCAGCCUGGGCACUAGAGUGAGACUCUGUCUCAAAAAAAAGAAAGAGAAAAUAGUUUCUAAAAAAUUGUAUACAGACAACCUUUUAUUUCCAACAAACGUGUGUCGAGAGAGAGAGAGAGAGAAAAUAGUUUUAAAAAAUUGUAUACAGACAACCUUUCCUUUCCAACCAACGUGUGUCGAGAGAAAAUAGUUUUAAAAAAAUUGUAUACAGACAACCUUUCAUUUCCAACCAACGUGUGUCGAGACAGAGAGAAAAAAUAGUUUUAAAAAAAUUGUAUACAGACAACCUUUUGUUUCCAACCAACGUGUAUCUAGAAAAGAGUUAGUCGACUUAUUUUAUACAUAGCAUCAGUGAAUACUAAUGAGUGGUAGGUCAUUUCAAAAUCCUGUUGCCUAUAUUAUGUGAAUACCAGGAGGUCAUCUGAUACGGACUUAAUAAAGGUUGAUUUUGCUUUAUAUUGGGAGCUGAGCCACACCUCCCCUUAUAACUCUUGGUCAGUAAUGGUCAGUUUGUGGCUGUUAGGAAAAUGUUGCUUUUUAGCAUUCCAGAACUCUAAAUCCUGUAGAGGUACAUGGGAUAUUUUAU